RNAcentral lists this ribosomal RNA (600 nucleotides) under uncultured bacterium. RNAcentral's name for it is "bacterial SSU rRNA". It matches the Rfam family "Bacterial small subunit ribosomal RNA", at positions 140 to 735 of the family's 1533-position model. The record is from RNAcentral.
GGGACAACCUAGCGAAAGUUAGGCUAAUACCGCAUACGCUCGAGAGAGGAAAGUGGGGGAUCGCAAGACCUCACGCUUUAGGAGCGGCCGAUAUCAGAUUAGCUAGAUGGUGAGGUAAAGGCUUACCAUGGCGACGAUCGGUAGCUGGUCUGAGAGGAUGAUCAGCCACACUGGGACUGAGACACGGCCCAGACUCCUACGGGAGGCAGCAGUGGGGAAUUUUGGACAAUGGGGGCAACCCUGAUCCAGCCAUUCCGCGUGAGUGAAGAAGGCCUUCGGGUUGUAAAGCUCUUUUGUUCGGGACGAAACGGUUUUGGUGAAUACCCAAGACUACUGACGGUACCGGAAGAAUAAGCACCGGCUAACUACGUGCCAGCAGCCGCGGUAAUACGUAGGGUGCGAGCGUUAAUCGGAAUUACUGGGCGUAAAGCGUGCGCAGGCGGUUUUGUAAGCCAGAUGUGAAAGCCCCGGGCUCAACCUGGGAAUGGCAUUUGGGACUGUAAGGCUGGAGUAUGGCAGAGGAGACUAGAAUUCCUGGUGUAGCAGUGAAAUGCGUAGAUAUCAGGAGGAAUACCGAUGGCGAAGGCAGGUCUCUGGGCC